AGAACGAACGCUGGCGGCAUGCCUAACACAUGCAAGUCGAACGAAGCCUUCGGGCUUAGUGGCGCACGGGUGCGUAACGCGUGGGAAUCUGCCCCUCGGUUCGGAAUAACAGUUAGAAAUGACUGCUAAUACCGGAUGAUGACGAAAGUCCAAAGAUUUAUCGCCGAGGGAUGAGCCCGCGUAGGAUUAGCUAGUUGGUGAGGUAAAGGCUCACCAAGGCGACGAUCCUUAGCUGGUCUGAGAGGAUGAUCAGCCACACUGGGACUGAGACACGGCCCAGACUCCUACGGGAGGCAGCAGUAGGGAAUAUUGGACAAUGGGCGAAAGCCUGAUCCAGCAAUGCCGCGUGAGUGAUGAAGGCCUUAGGGUUGUAAAGCUCUUUUACCCGAGAUGAUAAUGACAGUAUCGGAGAAUAAGACCCCGGCUAACUCCGUGCCAGCAAGCCGC
Molecule: ribosomal RNA, 447 nt
Filed under: uncultured soil bacterium
Lineage: Bacteria
Description: bacterial SSU rRNA
Rfam family: Bacterial small subunit ribosomal RNA
Source: RNAcentral